AUUGAACGCUGGCGGCAUGCUUUACACAUGCAAGUCGAACGGCAGCACGGGCUUCGUGCUGGUGGCGAGUGGGGGACGGGUGAGUGAUAUAUCGGAACGUACCCUGCCGUUGGGGCUAACGUAACGUCGGUUAAGCUGAUACCGCAUACGAUCUAAUGAUGAACGCAGGGGACCACAAGGGAUUGUCGUCCUGGAGGGGCCGAUAUGUGAUUAGCUAGUUGGUGAGGUAACGGCUCACCAAGGCGACGAUCAGUAGCUGAUCUGAGAGGACGACCAGCCACACUGGAACUGAGACACGGUCCAGACUCCUACGGGAGGCAGCAGUGGGGAAUUUUGGACAAUGGGCGCAAGCCUGAUCCAGCAAUGCCGCGUGAGUGAAGAAGGCCUUCGGGUUGUAAAGCUCUUUUGUCAGGGAAGAAACGGUAGAGGCUAAUAUCCGUUGAUAAUGACGGUACCUGAAGAAUAAGCACCGGCUAACUACGUG
RNAcentral lists this ribosomal RNA (484 nucleotides) under uncultured bacterium. RNAcentral's name for it is "partial 16S ribosomal RNA". It matches the Rfam family "Bacterial small subunit ribosomal RNA", at positions 30 to 507 of the family's 1533-position model. The record is from RNAcentral.